RNAcentral lists this unclassified non-coding RNA (309 nucleotides) under plant metagenome. Its description in RNAcentral is "partial contains 5.8S ribosomal RNA, internal transcribed spacer 2, and large subunit ribosomal RNA". The stretch from base 1 to 105 matches the Rfam family "5.8S ribosomal RNA", at positions 50 to 154 of the family's 154-position model. The record is from RNAcentral.
GAAAUGCGAUAAGUAGUGUGAAUUGCAGAAUUCAGUGAAUCAUCGAAUCUUUGAACGCACAUUGCGCCCCUUGGUAUUCCAUGGGGCAUGCCUGUUCGAGCGUCAUUUGUACCCUCAAGCUCUGCUUGGUGUUGGGUGUUUGUCCCGUCUCCGCGCGUGGACUCGCCCCAAAGUGAUUGGCAGCCGGCGUACUGGUCCCGGAGCGCAGCACAUGUCGCGCAAACGAGUGCCAUGGUACGGCGGCGUCCAUAAGCCCCUCUCUCACGCUCUUGACCUCGGAUCAGGUAGGGAUACCCGCUGAACUUAAGC